AGGACGAACGCUGGCGGCGUGCUUAACACAUGCAAGUCGAACGGUAAGGCCCUUCGGGGUACACGAGUGGCGAACGGGUGAGUAACACGUGGGUGAUCUGCCCUGCACUUUGGGAUAAGCCUGGGAAACUGGGUCUAAUACCGAAUAUGACCAUGGGAUGCAUGUUUCGUGGUGGAAAGCUUUUGCGGUGUGGGAUGGGCCCGCGGCCUAUCAGCUUGUUGGUGGGGUUACGGCCUACCAAGGCGACGACGGGUAGCCGGCCUGAGAGGGUGUCCGGCCACACUGGGACUGAGAUACGGCCCAGACUCCUACGGGAGGCAGCAGUGGGGAAUAUUGCACAAUGGGCGAAAGCCUGAUGCAGCGACGCCGCGUGAGGGACGAAGGCCUUCGGGUUGUAAACCUCUUUCAGCACAGACGAAGCGCAAGUGACGGUAUGUGCAGAAGAAGGACCGGACCAACUACGCGCCAGCAGCCGCGGUAA
This 481-nucleotide ribosomal RNA is filed under the name uncultured bacterium. RNAcentral describes it as "SSU rRNA". It matches the Rfam family "Bacterial small subunit ribosomal RNA", at positions 26 to 523 of the family's 1533-position model. The record is from RNAcentral.